This 789-nucleotide ribosomal RNA is filed under the name uncultured bacterium. RNAcentral's name for it is "bacterial SSU rRNA". It matches the Rfam family "Bacterial small subunit ribosomal RNA", at positions 8 to 796 of the family's 1533-position model. The record is from RNAcentral.
AGAGUUUGAUCAUGGCUCAGGAUGAACGCUAGCUGGAGGCUUAAUACAUGCAAGUCGAGCGGGAUUGGGUAGCAAUACCCAUGAGAGCGGCGCACGGGUGAGUAACGCGUACACGACCUACCUUUGACUGGGGGAUAGCCCUGGGAAACUGGGAUUAAUACCGCAUAUAAUUCUGAAUAAUAAAGGUUUGGAAUGAAAGUUCAGGCGGUCAGAGAUGGGUGUGCGUCUGAUUAGCUAGUUGGUAAGGUAACGGCUUACCAAGGCGAUGAUCAGUAGGGGGCGUGAGAGCGUGGACCCCCACACGGGUACUGAGACACGGACCCGACUCCUACGGGAGGCAGCAGUAAGGAAUAUUGGACAAUGGCCGCAAGGCUGAUCCAGCCAUCCAGCGUGCAGGAAGAAGGCCCUACGGGUUGUAAACUGCUUUUGUCAGGGAAUAAACCUGUGGAUUUACUCCGCAGCUGAAGGUACCUGAAGAAUAAGCACCGGCUAACUCCGUGCCAGCAGCCGCGGUAAUACGGAGGGUGCGAGCGUUAUCCGGAAUUACUGGGUUUAAAGGGUGCGUAGGCGGCCAUGUAAGUCAGGAGUGAAAGUUUGCGGCUCAACCGUAAAAUUGCUUUUGAUACUGCAUGGCUGGAAUCAGGAUGAGGUUAGCGGAAUGUGGCAUGUAGCGGUGAAAUGCAUAGAUAUGCCAUAGAACACCAAUUGCGAAGGCAGCUGGCUAGACCUGUAUUGACGCUGAGGCACGAAAGCGUGGGGAGCGAACAGGAUUAGAUACCCUAGUAGUCC